Molecule: ribosomal RNA, 243 nt
Filed under: uncultured Mogibacterium sp.
Lineage: Bacteria; Bacillati; Bacillota; Clostridia; Peptostreptococcales; Anaerovoracaceae
Description: partial 16S ribosomal RNA
Rfam family: Bacterial small subunit ribosomal RNA
Source: RNAcentral
CACGCCGUAAACGAUGAGCACUAGGUGUUGGGGUCGAAUGAUCUCAGUGCCGCAGUUAACGCAAUAAGUGCUCCGCCUGGGGAGUACGCUCGCAAGAGUAAAACUCAAAGGAAUUGACGGGGACCCGCACAAGCAGCGGAGCAUGUGGUUUAAUUCGAAGCAACGCGAAGAACCUUACCAGGACUUGACAUCCUACUGACAGGAUCUUAACCGGUCCCUUCUUCGGACAGUAGAGACAGGUGG